GCCGGUGUGUCUUAAGAGCAUAGGAAUGCUCUCAUAAGGCGGGGGUCGACGGUUCGAUUCCGUCCGCUGGCA
RNAcentral lists this transfer RNA (72 nucleotides) under Elusimicrobia bacterium CG06_land_8_20_14_3_00_38_11. Its description in RNAcentral is "tRNA-Met". It matches the Rfam family "tRNA". Rfam says of the family: Transfer RNA (tRNA) molecules are approximately 80 nucleotides in length. Their secondary structure includes four short double-helical elements and three loops (D, anti-codon, and T loops). The record is from RNAcentral. Lineage: Bacteria; Pseudomonadati; Elusimicrobiota.